AGCAGCCGCGGUAAUUCCAGCUCCAAUAGCGUAUAUUAAAGUUGUUGCAGUUAAAAAGCUCGUAGUUGAAUUUCGGGAUCAGUACGCUGGUCAUGCCUUUGGUAUGCACUGGUGUCACUGGUUUCUCCCUUCUGAAGAUCCGUGAUGUCAUUAAUUUGGUGUCGCGGGGAAUCAGGACUGUUACUUUGAAAAAAUUAGAGUGUUUAAAGCAAGCUCACGCUUGAAUACAUUAGCAUGGAAUAAUGAAAUAGGACGUUUGACCCUAUUUUGUUGGUUUCUAGGAUCGACGUAAUAAUUAAUAGGGAUAGUUGGGGGCAUUAGUAUUCAAUUGUCAGAGGUGAAAUUCUUGGAUUUAUUGAAGACUAACUACUGCGAAAGCAUUUGCCAAGGAUGUUUUCAUUAAUCAAGAACGAGAGUUAGGGGAUCGAAGACGAUCAGAUACCGUCGUAGUCUUAACCAUAAACUAUGCCGACUAGGGAUCGGAUGAUGUUAAUUUUAUAAUGACUCU
Molecule: ribosomal RNA, 508 nt
Filed under: uncultured Glomus
Lineage: Eukaryota; Fungi; Glomeromycota; Glomeromycetes; Glomerales; Glomeraceae
Description: SSU rRNA
Rfam family: Eukaryotic small subunit ribosomal RNA
Source: RNAcentral